Molecule: long non-coding RNA, 1470 nt
Organism: Prosopis cineraria
Lineage: Eukaryota; Viridiplantae; Streptophyta; Magnoliopsida; Fabales; Fabaceae
Exons: 2
Source: RefSeq, a predicted model, not a curated record
UGAGCAAAAACCCUAAAUGCCCUUGAUCAAAUCCUUUCCCCUUUGGCUCCCCUUCAUCUGUCCUGCUCCGCUCCCGUGCACAUCGUUCAGCCACAGCUCCAUGAUUUUGAAGGCGAUAAUGGGUAUAUUCGAUUUCGAUGGCGGUGGUGACAAAGGAAAGUGAGGUGAGAUUUGGUUUUAAAGACACUGGAUGAAAGAGCGAAGACGGUUUAAAUCGUAGGGAGUUUUCUAUUUCUUGAUGAAUCCAUCAAAAUCACAAAGCUCCGCACCUCCUGGAACGUUUUCUUCUCGCCCUUUCUCUUCCUCUCAGGCGUUGCCUCACAAACAAACCAUUUUGGUUUCAUCGAACCCAAACUACUCUAGCUCCACCCCCCUUUCCGGUGCCUCAUGGUCAUGGAUUCCCUCGAUGCUCAAUUCUUUCAUUCCCUACACAGCAAUUUUCACAGCAUAACUUUUAAUUAGGCGAGAUCGGUUUUGUUCAAUCUAACUUCGAAUCUAGAUUUGAAUUCCCCCCGGCAUCUAUUUCCCUUCAAUUUUUACUUUUUGAUCCCGGGUUUCCAUCCACAUUAAGUUUCAUCAUUGGAUGGCUUCCCUUGUCAAAAGCUUCGCUAGUCAUUGGGAUUCCCCUUGUUCAUCGGUUUUGAUGUGGUACUGAUCUUCUGAUCCUUUAAUAUAAUCCUUCUAUUAAUACUUACAAAACAUUAAGUAAGUAGAUGUAGCAUUCAAAUUCAAGAUAUGACAGACUUGCAUAUUCAUUUUUUUUCCCUAAUGAUCGCCAACUUGUUUAAUUUUAAAUCUUAGGGUGAGUUCCAGAAUUACUACCUAAUAGAUGGACUAUGGUUUAAUUAUUUUCUCAUGUGCCCUGGACAUGACUUGCAGGUGUGUGGUUAAAUAGUUAUUGGCUUUAAUUACUCUAAUGUGCUCUUUUUCUUUGUUUAUCAAAUGAACCGUGUUCUGGCUUGAAACUGUCACUUUUUGUUGCCUUGGGCAGUUCAACUAGUAGCUUGGGAUAACAGGUGUAUGUAAUUUUGGGAUAACUCUGGUUUGUGCAGUUGGAGAAGAAUUCCAUGGCCUUUGUUUUGUCCAAUGCUUCUCUGGUUUGUACUGCCUUGUUUCCAUGGCAGUUAAUAUUGACUAGUUACUCUUAUUUGUUUGUACAUUCAUGGUAAUUUCCAUGUGACAAAGUCUUGGAGAAGAUGGAAGCAUUGUAUAUUUGUGAGAAUCAGGAGGCAAGGAUAAAGUGGGAGAAGAAGGUGACAAUCCAGAUGCAGAGAAGACGGAGGCUAAGAUGAAUAGAUCAUGAGUGUUGUUGGGAUGUGAUAUUUGUAAAUGUUUAUGUAUAUGAAAUUGUUUUCAUUUAUAAAGCAUACAUGAUUAUAUGCAUAUGCAUAUUUCAGGAUAUAAAAAUUCACUUUUUGUGACUCUUAUUAUAUAAAUUACGUGAUAUAAUAAAUGAAUAUUUGAAUUCAA